RNAcentral lists this ribosomal RNA (497 nucleotides) under uncultured bacterium. RNAcentral describes it as "partial 16S ribosomal RNA". It matches the Rfam family "Bacterial small subunit ribosomal RNA", at positions 28 to 507 of the family's 1533-position model. The record is from RNAcentral.
GAUGAACGCUGGCGGCGUGCCUAAUACAUGCAAGUCGAGCGAACGGACGAGAAGCUUGCUUCUCUGAUGUUAGCGGCGGACGGGUGAGUAACACGUGGAUAACCUACCUAUAAGACUGGGAUAACUUCGGGAAACCGGAGCUAAUACCGGAUAAUAUUUUGAACCGCAUGGUUCAAAAGUGAAAGACGGUCUUGCUGUCACUUAUAGAUGGAUCCGCGCUGCAUUAGCUAGUUGGUAAGGUAACGGCUUACCAAGGCAACGAUGCAUAGCCGACCUGAGAGGGUGAUCGGCCACACUGGAACUGAGACACGGUCCAGACUCCUACGGGAGGCAGCAGUAGGGAAUCUUACGCAAUGGGCGAAAGCCUGACGGAGCAACGCCGCGUGAGUGAUGAAGGUCUUCGGAUCGUAAAACUCUGUUAUUAGGGAAGAACAUAUGUGUAAGUAACUGUGCACAUCUUGACGGUACCUAAUCAGAAAGCCACGGCUGACUACGUG